AACGAACGCUGGCGGCAUGCCUAACACAUGCAAGUCGAACGAGAUCUUCGGGUCUAGUGGCGCACGGGUGCGUAACGCGUGGGAAUCUGCCCUUUGGUUCGGAAUAACAGUUGGAAACGACUGCUAAUACCGGAUGAUGACGAAAGUCCAAAGAUUUAUCGCCAGAGGAUGAGCCCGCGUAGGAUUAGCUAGUUGGUGUGGUAAAGGCGCACCAAGGCGACGAUCCUUAGCUGGUCUGAGAGGAUGAUCAGCCACACUGGGACUGAGACACGGCCCAGACUCCUACGGAAGGCAGCAGUGGGGAAUAUUGGACAAUGGGCGAAAGCCUGAUCCAGCAAUGCCGCGUGAGUGACGAAGGCCUUAGGGUUGUAAAGCUCUUUUACCCGGGAUGAUAAUGACAGUACCGGGAGAAUAAGCUCCGGCUAACUCCGUGCCAGCAGCCGCCGUAA
RNAcentral lists this ribosomal RNA (449 nucleotides) under uncultured bacterium. RNAcentral's name for it is "partial 16S ribosomal RNA". It matches the Rfam family "Bacterial small subunit ribosomal RNA", at positions 29 to 523 of the family's 1533-position model. The record is from RNAcentral.